RNAcentral lists this ribosomal RNA (253 nucleotides) under uncultured bacterium. RNAcentral's name for it is "partial 16S ribosomal RNA". It matches the Rfam family "Bacterial small subunit ribosomal RNA", at positions 524 to 776 of the family's 1533-position model. The record is from RNAcentral.
UACGUAGGGUGCAAGCGUUGUCCGGAAUUAUUGGGCGUAAAGAGCUCGUAGGCGGUUUGUCGCGUCUGCUGUGAAAACCCGAGGCUUAACUCUGGGCGUGCAGUGGGUACGGGCAGGCUAGAGUGCGGUAGGGGAGACUGGAAUUCCUGGUGUAGCGGUGAAAUGCGCAGAUAUCAGGAGGAACACCAACAGCGAAGGCAGAUCUCUGGGACGUAACUGACGCUGAGACGCGAAAGCGUGGGGAGCAAACAGG